GCUGGGGAGUACGGCCGCAAGGCUGAAACUCGAAGGAAUUGACGGGGGCCCGCACAAGCGGUGGAGCAUGUGGUUUAAUUCGAAGCUACGCGAAGAACCUUACCAGGUCUUGACAUACUAUGCAAAUCUAAGAGAUUAGACGUUCCCUUCGGGGACAUGGAUACAGGUGGUGCAUGGUUGUCGUCAGCUCGUGUCGUGAGAUGUUGGGUUAAGUCCCGCAACGAGCGCAACCCUUAUUAUCAGUUGCCAGCAUUAAGUUGGGCACUCUGGUGAGACUGCCGGUGACAAACCGGAGGAAGGUGGGGAUGACGUCAAAUCAUCAUGCCCCUUAUGACCUGGGCUACACACGUGCUACAAUGGAUGGUACAACGAGUUGCGAACUCGCGAGAGUAAGCUAAUCUCUUAAAGCCAUUCUCAGUUCGGAUUGUAGGCUGCAACUCGCCUACAUGAAGUCGGAAUCGCUAGUAAUCGCGGAUCAGCAUGCCGCGGUGAAUACGUUCCCGGGCCUUGUACACACCGCCCGUCACACCAUGAGAGUUUGUAACACCCAAAGUCGGUGGGGUAACCUUUAGGAACCAGCCGCCUAAGGUGGGACAGAUGAUUAGGGUGAAGUCGUAACAAGGUAACCA
This 629-nucleotide ribosomal RNA is filed under the name uncultured Lactobacillus sp. RNAcentral describes it as "bacterial SSU rRNA". It matches the Rfam family "Bacterial small subunit ribosomal RNA", at positions 872 to 1502 of the family's 1533-position model. Lineage: Bacteria; Bacillati; Bacillota; Bacilli; Lactobacillales; Lactobacillaceae. The record is from RNAcentral.